UACGGAGGGAGCUAGCGUUGUUCGGAAUUACUGGGCGUAAAGCGUACGUAGGCGGCUUUGUAAGUUAGAGGUGAAAGCCCGGUGCUCAACACCGGAACUGCCUUUAAGACUGCAUCGCUAGAAUCCAGGAGAGGUGAGUGGAAUUCCGAGUGUAGAGGUGAAAUUCGUAGAUAUUCGGAAGAACACCAGUGGCGAAGGCGGCUCACUGGACUGGUAUUGACGCUGAGGUACGAAAGCGUGGGGAGCAAACAGG
Molecule: ribosomal RNA, 253 nt
Filed under: uncultured bacterium
Lineage: Bacteria
Description: partial 16S ribosomal RNA
Rfam family: Bacterial small subunit ribosomal RNA
Source: RNAcentral